This 253-nucleotide ribosomal RNA is filed under the name uncultured bacterium. RNAcentral's name for it is "partial 16S ribosomal RNA". It matches the Rfam family "Bacterial small subunit ribosomal RNA", at positions 524 to 776 of the family's 1533-position model. The record is from RNAcentral.
GACAGAGGGUGCAAGCGUUAAUCGGAAUUACUGGGCGUAAAGGGUGCGUAGGUGGUCAGGAAGGUGCGAUGUAAAAGGCCAGGGCUUAACCCUGGAGUGUCAUAGCAAACGUCCUGUCUGGAGUUGAAUAGAGGUUAGGGGAAUUUCAGGAGUAGCGGUGAAAUGCGUAGAUAUCGGAAGGAACACUCGUGGCGAAGGCGCCUAACUGGAUUCAAACUGACACUGAGUCAAGAAAGCGUGGGUAGCAAACAGG